GACGAAGGGUCCAAGCGUUAUCCGGAUUCAUUGGGUUUAAAGGGUGCGUAGGCGGACUUGUAAGUCAGUGGUGAAAGCCCAUCGCUUAACGAUGGAACUGCCAUUGAUACUGCAAGUCUUGAGUACAGAUGACGUUGGCGGAAUAUGACAUGUAGCGGUGAAAUGCUUAGAUAUGUCAUAGAACACCGAUUGCGAAGGCAGCUAACGAAACUGAAACUGACGCUGAGGCACGAAAGUGUGGGGAUCAAACAGGAUUAGAUACCCUGGUAGUCCACACUGUAAACGAUGAUUACUCGAUGUUUGCGAUAUACAGUAAGCGUCUAAGCGAAAGCGAUAAGUAAUCCACCUGGGGAGUACGCCGGCAACGGUGAA
This 372-nucleotide ribosomal RNA is filed under the name uncultured bacterium. RNAcentral's name for it is "bacterial SSU rRNA". It matches the Rfam family "Bacterial small subunit ribosomal RNA", at positions 524 to 898 of the family's 1533-position model. The record is from RNAcentral.